CCUACGGGAGGCAGCAGUGGGGAAUAUUGCACAAUGGGCGCAAGCCUGAUGCAGCCAUGCCGCGUGUGUGAAGAAGGCCUUCGGGUUGUAAAGCACUUUCAGCGGGGAGGAAGGCGUUAAGGUUAAUAACCUUGUCGAUUGACGUUACCCGCAGAAGAAGCACCGGCUAACUCCGUGCCAGCAGCCGCGGUAAUACGGAGGGUGCAAGCGUUAAGCGGAAUUACUGGGCGUAAAGCGCACGCAGGCGGUCUGUCAAGUCGGAUGUGAAAUCCCCGGGCUCAACCGGGGAACUGCAUUCGAAACUGGCAGGCUAGAGUCUUGUAGAGGGGAGUAGAAUUCCAGGUGUAGCGGUGAAAUGCGUAGAGAUCUGGAGGAAUACCGGUGGCGAAGGCGGCCCCCUGGACAAAGACUGACGCUCAGGUGCGAAAGCGUGGGGAGCAAACAGGAUUAGAUACCCGUGUAGUC
This 465-nucleotide ribosomal RNA is filed under the name uncultured Klebsiella sp. RNAcentral's name for it is "bacterial SSU rRNA". It matches the Rfam family "Bacterial small subunit ribosomal RNA", at positions 338 to 795 of the family's 1533-position model. The record is from RNAcentral. Lineage: Bacteria; Pseudomonadati; Pseudomonadota; Gammaproteobacteria; Enterobacterales; Enterobacteriaceae.